CCUGCUUUGUUUUCCCCGGACUGUUUUUCACGGUUGGUGGCAGGAAAGUUUCUUGCCACUCCCUUAUCUGAGGUUUAUGUCAGGGACUGCUGGUACGCGGUGCUCCCUUAGAACUCGCUCCAGUUUGGCAGCGCUCGCUCUUCUUGAGUCACUGCAACGCGGGCAGGGAUUUUCCUCUACGUUGGAUGUAGGAGCAGGGUGAGGAAGGUGACCGCAGACACUUCUGAAGAGAAAAGCGUUACCCUGCCUUGUUCCCGGGUGCCCGCAUCUGUCCAGCAGCACGGUGGUGAAGCAACUUUGUACUUUGUCUCAGCCCUAGUUCUCCUGGUUUGGUACAACUGGACAUAUUUGGAAGACCUCCAUUCUUCUUCCUUUGUCCUACCCAGCUACCUGAUAUCGUCUGGAAAUAAAGCUAAGAGGCAGGAUUGGUCUCAAGGUAUGUUAGCGAAGUAGAAGACAAAAGUAUUACUGUUUUGUCAUGUAUAUGAUGUCAAGCUGUAAAGCCUCUGAAACGUAUGAAGGGUGGUCUACGGGUUAAGACACCUUUGCUGUGAAAGAUCCAGGUUAGGCCUCAGAAGGGAGGGCAGUGGGAAGCGACCCUCUGCGGCUGUGGACAGGCAAGGUCGUGGCAGUGAUUAAAAAAAAAAAAUUGUUGUACGUAAUGACAAUCCAGAUAUGCCCACUGGAAAUUCUUUAAGGUAAGUUUUUUCUUUAUUUCUCUCCUCGCAUUGUAACCUGAGUCUGAGUGACAUAUAAGGCUUCAUGCAGUUCAGUCAUCAGACUUUAUCUGCCUUCUCUGGAUGCUUUCUUGGUCAUAGCAGCCACUGAAGCUCUAUCCUUAAGGGCUCUGAUUCUCAUAUUAAUAUAACUCAGUGAUUA
RNAcentral lists this long non-coding RNA (879 nucleotides) under Struthio camelus australis. RNAcentral's name for it is "lncRNA (ENSSCUG00000013689.1)". Lineage: Eukaryota; Metazoa; Chordata; Aves; Struthioniformes; Struthionidae. The record is from RNAcentral.